RNAcentral lists this ribosomal RNA (465 nucleotides) under uncultured bacterium. Its description in RNAcentral is "partial 16S ribosomal RNA". It matches the Rfam family "Bacterial small subunit ribosomal RNA", at positions 28 to 507 of the family's 1533-position model. The record is from RNAcentral.
GACGAACGCUGGCGGCGUGCUUAACACAUGCAAGUCGAACGGAAAGGCCCCUUUGGGGGUCCUCGAGUGGCGCACGGGUGAGUAACACGUGAGUAACCUGCCCUUGACUUCGGGAUAACUUCAGGAAACUGGGGCUAAUACCGGAUAGGAAUCCUUGCUGCAUGGUGGGGGUUGGAAAGCUUCGGCGGUUUUGGAUGGACUCGCGGCUUAUCAGCUUGUUGGUGGGGUAGUGGCUUACCAAGGCUUUGACGGGUAGCCGGCCUGAGAGGGCGACCGGCCACAUUGGGACUGAGAUACGGCCCAGACGCCGAAGGGAGGCAGCAGUGGGGAAUAUUGCACAAUGGGCGGAAGCCUGAUGCAGCAACGCCGCGUGCGGGAUGACGGCCUUCGGGUUGUAAACCGCUUUCAGCAGGGGCGAAGCUUGUGGUGACGGUACCUGCAGAAGAAGCACCGGCUAACUACGUG